This 28-nucleotide non-coding RNA is filed under the name Mus musculus (house mouse). Lineage: Eukaryota; Metazoa; Chordata; Mammalia; Rodentia; Muridae. The record is from RNAcentral.
UUCCAUGAGACGCAGCGGCUUUAGAUGU